Molecule: long non-coding RNA, 1385 nt
Organism: Serinus canaria (Common canary)
Lineage: Eukaryota; Metazoa; Chordata; Aves; Passeriformes; Fringillidae
Exons: 8
Source: RefSeq, a predicted model, not a curated record
AAUACCCGAGCGUUGCGGUGGGCGGGGCUUAGAGAGCCGAGCGGUGCCGGAAAUACCCGAGCGUUGCGGUGGGCGGGGCUGAGAGAGCCGAACGACGACGGAAAUACCCGAGUGAAGCCGAGGGACGCGCGGAAAGUAGCGGAAACACCCGAUUGGUGGAGGAGGGAGCUGAAAAACCAUCAAGAGAAUUAAUUGAUGGCUCCGAACCUUUCCGAGCGAUGCCGGGAAUUGCCGAGCGAAUUCGGGUGGAAUUCCGAAAAAAAACCCAAAAAAACCCGAUGAUUCCCCUGACGGCCUCACCCGCCAGGGGGCGCCCCACAUCCCUGGCGCCUUUCCCGCCUUUUCUCCUCCCUCAGCGCUCGCGCCCCGCCCCCUUUCCCGGCAUGCCCCGCGCGCUAUUUAAAGGCCCGUGAGGGAGCGCGGCGGCCAUUUUGUCCCAGCACCGGUUGAAGGAGUGUUUUUGCUGAGGAAAUGCUCCUCCUGUCCGAGGCGAGAGCGAGCCGUGGGGCCUCAGCUCUCGGAUCAUGGAGUCCCCAUCUGUGGGUUCACCAUGGCCCCUCCCCAGUGGGAGAUGUCUGAGCCCGGGGUGACCCUCAGGCCACCAUGAAGUGACAACAGUGACCCCCCUCAGCCACGGGACCCCCCCUGACCCCCCCAGUUUCCAUCAUGGCCACGGGAGCUGCGGGUUCCAUGGGGCCUGGGUCCUGAACGGGGUGACCCCAACCCCCAUGGAGGAUUUUGGGGGGUUUGAUUCCAAUUCUUAAUCUGGGGAAAAUUCAAGGUGCUGCAGGUGAACAGAGGCUCAGGUGAGUCUGGGGGGUUUUGGGGGAGGGGAGUUUAAAGGUUUAGAAAAGGAAUUUGCAGUUUAGGGAGAGGGUUUGUAAAGUUUGGGGAUUUGAGUUUUGGGGUGCGGGGAGGGGAUUUUGGGUUUUUUGGAAAGGAGGUUUUGGGUUUUGAGAAAAGAUUUUGGGUUUUGGGAGUUUUAGAGUUUAGGAAAAAGAAUUUUGGGGUUUGGGGGGAUUAUUUGAGGGUUUCAGAGGGGAUUUUGGGGUAUGGGGGGGAAUUUGAGGGUUUCAGAGGGAAUUUUGGGAUUUAGGGAGGGGAUUUUGGGGGUGUUUUGGGGUCCCCCUGCCGAGGAUGAAGCGAUACCGCCCCAGACUGAGCCCUGUGAUUGGUCGGUUCCCUCUGAGGCUCUGGGGGGACCCGGGGGGGUUUUGGGGGGUCCAUGGGGGGCGUCGAGGCUUUGCGGAGGGGGGGCACAAAUAAAAGUUUAAGGAUCCUACAAAAAUUUCAAGACUCAAAACUUCCUUCAAUUUCCUUUUUCCAGCUCUUGGAUAAUGAAAAGUGUCAAUAUUGCAAAUAAAAAUCGCUGUUUUUGUUAAAAA